RNAcentral lists this ribosomal RNA (2988 nucleotides) under Pogostemon cablin (patchouli). RNAcentral's name for it is "eukaryotic LSU rRNA". It matches the Rfam family "Eukaryotic large subunit ribosomal RNA". The record is from RNAcentral. Lineage: Eukaryota; Viridiplantae; Streptophyta; Magnoliopsida; Lamiales; Lamiaceae.
ACUCUCGGCAAUGGAUAUCUCAGCUCUCGCAUCGAUGAAGAACAUAGUGAAAUACAAUACUUAGUAUGAAUUGCAAAAUCCCGUGAACCAUCGAGUCUUUAAACGCAAGUUGCGCCCGAAGCCACUAGGCCAAGGGCACGCCUGCCUGGGUGUCGCGCAUCGCGUCGCCCCCUCCCCGUACCCAAAUGCACGGCAGGGGUAGAAAGUAGUCCCCCGUGCGCGGUGCCGUGCGAUCGGCCCAAAUGUGAUCCCCGGCGACGCACCUCACGACAAGUGGUGGUUGAACCCUCAACGUGCUUUUUCGUGCACCACCAUGUCGGGAUGCAUGAUUAGACCCAAUGGAUUUCCCUAGUAUCAGCGAGCAAACCGGGAAUCCUAACUUGAGAUUCGGGCGGCCAUGCCGUUCGAAUUGUAGUCUAGAGAAGGGUCCUCAGCGGUGGACCGGGGUCGAGUCCCCUGGAAUGGGGCAUCAUAGAGGGUGAGAGCCCCAUUGCUCCCGGACCCUGUCGCACCAUGAGGCGCUAUUGGCGAAUAGGGUUGUUUGGGAAUACAACCCCAAUCAGGCGGUAAAUUCCGUCCAAGGCUAAAUACGGGCGACAGACCGAUAGCGAACAAGUACCGCGAGGGAAAGAUGAAAAGGACUUUGAAAAGAGAGUCAAAAAGUGCUUGAAAUUGUCGGGAGGGAAGCGAAUGGGGGCCGACGAUGCAUCCCGGUCGGAUGUGGAAUGGCAAGAGUUGGUCGGCUGAUCGACUCGAGGCGUGGACCAGCACGGAUCAAUGCGACACUCAAAGCUCAGGCGGUUGAUAUGCUCGUUGUAUGGUGUCGCAUCAAUCCAGGCAGACAACGCGCGCCUCGUGUGUGCCUCAAUAACUGUGCUUUCCCGGUGCAGGCUUGAGGGCUCCCCAUUCGACCCGUCUUGAAACACGGACCAAGGAGUCUGACAUGUGCGCGAGUCAAUGGGCGAUUAAACCUGUAAGGUGCAAGGAAGCUGACUGAUAUGAUCCCCCCGAGGGGUGCACCACCGACCGACAUUGUUCGCUGCCCUCCAACUCACCUGCCGAAUCAACUAGCCCCAAAAAUAUAUGGCGCUGAAGCGCUAUACCCGGCCGUCGGGGCAAGGGCCAUGCCCCGAUGAGUAGGAGGGUGAAGCUCGGUGUGGAUCUUAGUGGUAGUAACAAAUAUUCAAAUGAGAACUUUGAAGGCCGAACAAGGGAAAGGUUCCAUGUGAAUGGCACUUGCACAUGGGUUAGUCGAUCCUAUGGGUCGGGGGAUGCCCGACAGACAGCAUGUUCAAUGCGUGCUCCAAAAGGAAAUCGGGUUAAAAUUCCCGAAUCGGGAUGCGGCAGUUGACGACAACAUUAAGGAGUCUGGAGACGUCGGCAGGGGCCUCAGGAAGACUUAUCUUUUCUGUUUAAUAGCCCGCCCACCUUGGAAAUGGCUCAGCCGGAUGUAGGGUCCAGCGGCUGGAAGAGCACCGCACGUCGCGUGGUAUCCGGUGCGCCCUCGGCGGCCCUUAAAAAUCCAGAGGAUCGAGUAUCAUCUGCGCCCAGUCGUACUCAUAACCGUAUCAGGUCUCCAAGGUGAACAGCCUCUGGUCUAUGGAAUAAUGUAGGCAAGGGAACUCAGCAAAAUGGAUCUGUAACCUCAGGAAAAGGAUUGGCUCUGAGGGCUGGGCACGAGGGUCCGAGUCCUGAACCCGUCGGCUAUCGGAAAACUGCUCGAGCUGCUCGCGCAGCAAGAGUGGGUCAUCGCGUGCCAGUCGGGGGACGGACUGGGAAUGGCUCCCUCGGGGGCCUUCCCCAGGCAUCGAACAGUAGACUCAGAACUGGUAUGGACAAGGGGAAUCCGACUAUUUAAUUAAAACAAAGCAUUGCAAUGGUCCCUGCGGAUGCUCACGCGAUGUGUUUUCUGCCCAGUGCUCUGAAUGUCAAAAUGAAGAAAUUCAACCAAGUGCGGGUAAAGGGCGGGAGUAACUAUGACUCUCUUAAGGUAGCCAAAUGCCUCGUCAUCUAAUUAGUGAUGCACAUGAAUGGAUUAACGAGAUUUCCACUCUCCCUGUCUACUAUCCAGCGAAACCACAGCCAAGGGAAAGGGCUUGGCAGAAUCAGCAGGGAAAGAAGACCCUGUUGAGCUUGACUCUAGUCUGACUUUGUGAAAUGACUUGAGAGGUGUAGGGUAAGUGGGAGCCAAAAGGAAAAAGUGAAAUACCACUACUUUAAACGUUAUUUUACUUAUUCCGUGAAUCAGAGGCGGGGCAUCGCCCCUCUUUUUGGACCCAAGGCUCGCCCCAAUGGGCCGAUCUGGGCAGAAGACAUUAUCAGGUGGGGAGUUUGGCUAGGGCGACACAUCUGUUAAAAGAUAACGCAAGUGUCCUAAGAUGAGCUCACUGAGAACAGAAAUCUCGUGUGAAAUAGAAGGGUAAAAGCUCGUUUGAUUCUAAUUUUUAGUACGAAUACGAACCGUGAAAGCAUGUCCUAACGAUCCUUUAGACCUUCAGAAUUUGAAGAUAGAGGUGUCAGAAAAGUUACCACAGGGAUAACUGGCUUGUGGCAGCCAAGCAUUCAUAGCGACAUUGCUUUUUGAUCCUUCGAUGUCGACUCUUCCUAUCAUUGUGAAGCAGAAUUCACCAAGUAUUGGAUUGUUUACCCUACUGAUGAUGGUGUCGCAAUAGUAAUUCUACCUAGUACGAGAGGAACCGUUGAUUUGCACAAUUGGUCAUCGCGCUUGGUUUAAAUGCCAGUGGCGCGAAGCUACCAUGCGCUGGAUUAUGAUUGAAUGUCUCUAAGUCAGAAUCUGAGCUAGACGCGAUGCAUGUGCCCAUCGUCCGCUCCCCGACCCGUAGUAGGGGCCCCCAGGCCCCCAAGGGCACGUGUCGUUGGCUAAGCCCCCGCGGUGGACGAGCUGCGUGGGCCGCCUUAAAGUACAAUUCCAAUCGAGCGGCGGGUAGAAUCCUUUGCAGAACACUUAAAUACAUGACUGGGUAUUGU